UACAGAGGAGCCAAGCGUUGUCCGGAUUGACUGGGCGUAAAGCGCACGCAGGCGGUCUGGCGCGUGGGGUGUGAAAUCUGGCCGCUUAACGGCCAGGCGCCAUCCCAUACGGCCGGACUGGAGCCUUGCAGAGGUCGGUGGAAUUGCCGGUGUAGUGGUGAAAUGCGUAGAGAUCGGCAGGAACACCCAGUGGGAAACCAGCCGACUGGGCAAGUGCUGACGCUGAGGUGCGAGAGCGUGGGGAGCGAACCGG
RNAcentral lists this ribosomal RNA (253 nucleotides) under uncultured bacterium. Its description in RNAcentral is "partial 16S ribosomal RNA". It matches the Rfam family "Bacterial small subunit ribosomal RNA", at positions 524 to 776 of the family's 1533-position model. The record is from RNAcentral.